This 268-nucleotide ribosomal RNA is filed under the name uncultured bacterium. Its description in RNAcentral is "partial 16S ribosomal RNA". It matches the Rfam family "Bacterial small subunit ribosomal RNA", at positions 28 to 297 of the family's 1533-position model. The record is from RNAcentral.
GACGAACGCUGGCGGCGUGCUUAACACAUGCAAGUCGAGCGGUAAGGCCCUUUCGGGGGUACACGAGCGGCGAACGGGUGAGUAACACGUGGGUGACCUGCCCUCAGCUCUGGGAUAAGCCUGGGAAACCGGGUCUAAUACUGGAUAUGACUCCAUGACGCAUGUUGUGGGGUGGAAAGCCUUGUGCGGCUGAGGAUGGGCCCGCGGCCUAUCAGCUUGUUGGUGGGGUGANGGCCUACCAAGGCGACGACGGGUAGCCGGCCUGAGA